CGUGUAGGCGGUGCGGUAAGUUGGGCGUGAAAUCCCCGAGCUUAACUCGGGUGGGCCGUUCAAGACUGCCGUGCUAGGGUGCGGGAGAGGGAAGUGGAAUUUCCGGUGUAGCGGUGAAAUGCGUAGAUAUCGGGAGGAACACCUGCGGCGAAGGCGGCUUCCUGGACCGUAACCGACGCUGAGGCGCGAAAGCUAGGGGAGCAAACAGGAUUAGAUACCCUGGUAGUCCUAGCCCUAAACGAUGAGCACUGGGUGUGGUCCCUCACGAGGCCGUGCCGAAGCUAACGCAUUAAGUGCUCCGCCUGGGGAGUACGGUCGCAAGGCUGAA
Molecule: ribosomal RNA, 328 nt
Filed under: uncultured bacterium
Lineage: Bacteria
Description: bacterial SSU rRNA
Rfam family: Bacterial small subunit ribosomal RNA
Source: RNAcentral